Molecule: ribosomal RNA, 253 nt
Filed under: uncultured bacterium
Lineage: Bacteria
Description: partial 16S ribosomal RNA
Rfam family: Bacterial small subunit ribosomal RNA
Source: RNAcentral
UACAGAGGGUGCGAGCGUUGUCCGGAAUCACUGGGCGUAAAGGGCGCGUAGGUGGCGCCCCAAGUCGAUGGUGAAAGCUCGCCGCUCAACGGCGAGUCGGCCACCGAUACUGGGGCGCUUGAGCACUGUAGAGGCUAAUGGAAUUCCGGGUGUAGCGGCGGAAUGCGUAGAGAUCCGGAAGAACACCGGUGGCGAAGGCGGUUAGCUGGGCAGUUGCUGACACUGAGGCGCGACAGCGUGGGGAGCAAACAGG